Molecule: transfer RNA, 65 nt
Filed under: Dipodomys ordii (Ord's kangaroo rat)
Lineage: Eukaryota; Metazoa; Chordata; Mammalia; Rodentia; Heteromyidae
Rfam family: tRNA
About the family: Transfer RNA (tRNA) molecules are approximately 80 nucleotides in length. Their secondary structure includes four short double-helical elements and three loops (D, anti-codon, and T loops).
Source: Rfam by way of RNAcentral
GGUGGCUCAGUGGUAGAGUGCUUGCCUUGCAUGCAUGAGGCCUUGGGUUUGACUCCCCAGCACCA